Long non-coding RNA from Dicentrarchus labrax (European seabass), 979 nucleotides. RefSeq lists it as uncharacterized. The record is from RefSeq and is a predicted model, not a curated record. Lineage: Eukaryota; Metazoa; Chordata; Actinopteri; Moronidae. The transcript is spliced from 5 exons.
AGGUAAGAUAAUGUAACAUUAAGUUAACAUAAUGUAAGGUAAGAUAAUGUAACAUUAAAUUAACAUAAUGUAAGGUAAGAUAAUGUAACAUUAAGCUAAAAUAAUGUAAGUUAACAUAAUGUAAGGUAAGAUAAUGUAACAUUAAGUUAACAUAAUGUAAGGUAAGAUAAUGUAACAUUAAAUUAACAUAAUGUAAGGUAAGAUAAUGUAACAUUAAGCUAAAAUAAUGUAAGUUAACAUAAUGUAAGGUAAGAUAAUGUAACACUAGGUUAACAUAAUGUAAGGUAAAAUAAUGUAACAUUAAGUUAACAUAAUGUAAGGUAACAUAAUGUAACAUUAAGUUAAAAUAAUGUAAGUUAACAUAAUGUAAGGUAAGAUAAUGUAACACUAAGUUAACAUAAUGUAAGGUAAGAUAAUGUAACAUUAAGUUAAAAUAAUGUAAGGUAAGAUAAUGUAACAUUAAGUUAAAAUAAUGUAAGGUAAGAUAAUGUAACAUUAAGUUAACAUAAUGUAAGGUAAGAUAAUGUAACACUAAGAUAACAUAAUGUAAGGUAAGAUAAUGUAACACUAAGUUAACAUAAUGUAAGGUAAGAUAAUGUAACAAUACGUUUACAUAAUGUAAGGUAAGAUAAUGUAACACUAAGUUAAAAUAAUGUAAGUUAACAUAAUGUAAGGUAAGAUAAUGUAACAAUAAGUUAACAUAAUGUAAGAUAAGAUAAUGUAACAAUAAGUUAACAUAAUGCAAGUUAACAUAAUGUAAGGUAAGAUAAUGUAACACUAAGUUAACACAAUGUAAGGUAAGAUAAUGUAACACUAAGUUAAAAUAAUGUAAGGUAAGAUAAUCUAACAUUAAGUUAACAUAAUGUAAGGUAAGAUAAUGUAACAAUCAGUUAACAUAAUGUAAGGUAAGAUAAUGUAACAAUAAGUUAACAUAAUGUAAGGUAAGAUAAUGUAAGGUAAGAUAAUGUAACACUAAGUA